ACGGCGAGUGAAGCGGCAACAGCUCAAAUUUGAAAGCUAGCCUUCGGGUUCGCAUUGUAAUUUGUAGAGGAUGAUUUGGGGAAGCCGCCUGUCUAAGUUCCUUGGAACAGGACGUCAUAGAGGGUGAGAAUCCCGUAUGUGACAGGAAAUGGCACCCUAUGUAAAUCUCCUUCGACGAGUCGAGUUGUUUGGGAAUGCAGCUCUAAAUGGGAGGUAAAUUUCUUCUAAAGCUAAAUAUUGGCGAGAGACCGAUAGCGCACAAGUAGAGUGAUCGAAAGAUGAAAAGCACUUUGGAAAGAGAGUUAAAAAGCACGUGAAAUUGUUGAAAGGGAAGCGCUUGCAAUCAGACUUGUUUAAACUGUUCGGCCGGUCUUCUGACCGGUUUACUCAGUUUGGACAGGCCAGCAUCAGUUUCGGCGGCCGGAUAAAGGCUCUGGGAAUGUGGCCUUCACUUCGGUGGAGGUGUUAUAGCCCAGGGUGUAAUACGGCCAAGCCGGGACUGAGGUCCGCGCUUCGGCUAGGAUGCUG
This 528-nucleotide ribosomal RNA is filed under the name Aureobasidium pullulans. RNAcentral's name for it is "eukaryotic LSU rRNA". It matches the Rfam family "Eukaryotic large subunit ribosomal RNA", at positions 86 to 628 of the family's 3401-position model. The record is from RNAcentral. Lineage: Eukaryota; Fungi; Ascomycota; Dothideomycetes; Dothideales; Saccotheciaceae.